GAUGAACGCUAGCGACAGGCCUAACACAUGCAAGUCGAGGGGUAACAGGAAGUAGCAAUACUUAGCUGACGACCGGCGCACGGGUGAGUAACGCGUAUGCAACCUACCUACUACAGGGGAAUAACCCGGAGAAAUUCGGACUAAUACCGCAUAAUACAGGGGUCCCGCAUGGGAAUAUUUGUUAAAGAUUAAUUGGUAGUAGAUGGGCAUGCGUUCCAUUAGGUAGUUGGUAAGGUAACGGCUUACCAAGCCAUCGAUGGAUAGGGGAACUGAGAGGUUGAUCCCCCACACUGGUACUGAGACACGGACCAGACUCCUACGGGAGGCAGCAGUGAGGAAUAUUGGUCAAUGGGCGAGAGCCUGAACCAGCCAAGUCGCGUGAAGGAUGACGGUUCUAUGGAUUGUAAACUUCUUUUGUACAGGGGUAAAACACUCUACGUGUAGAGUCUUGCAAGUACUGUACGAAUAAGCAUCGGCUAACUCCGUG
RNAcentral lists this ribosomal RNA (487 nucleotides) under uncultured organism. RNAcentral's name for it is "bacterial SSU rRNA". It matches the Rfam family "Bacterial small subunit ribosomal RNA", at positions 28 to 507 of the family's 1533-position model. The record is from RNAcentral.